This 37-nucleotide transfer RNA is filed under the name Gilbertaster anacanthus. RNAcentral describes it as "partial tRNA-Phe". The record is from RNAcentral. Lineage: Eukaryota; Metazoa; Echinodermata; Asteroidea; Valvatida; Goniasteridae. RNAcentral also lists the same sequence under 1 other name.
UGCUAAGGAAAGGAUUUAAACCAAUAUUUAAGCGUUU